Molecule: ribosomal RNA, 481 nt
Filed under: uncultured bacterium
Lineage: Bacteria
Description: partial 16S ribosomal RNA
Rfam family: Bacterial small subunit ribosomal RNA
Source: RNAcentral
GAUGAACGCUGGCGGCGUGCCUAACACAUGCAAGUCGAACGGAGAUUACGGACGGAAGUUUUCGGAUGGAAGCCUGUAAUUCUUAGUGGCGGACGGGUGAGUAACGCGUGGGCAACCUGCCCUAUACAGGGGGAUAGCAGCUGGAAACGGCUGGUAAGACCGCAUAAGUCGGUUAAAUCGCAUGAUUUGAUCGGGAAAUGAGCAAUCAGGUAUAGGAUGGGGCCGCGUCCGAUUAGCCAGUUGGCAGGGUAAAAGCCUACCAAAGCGACGAUCGGUGGCCGGACUGAGAGGUCGGACGGCCACAUUGGGACUGAGACACGGCCCAAACUCCUACGGGAGGCGGCAGUGGGGGAUAUUGCACAAUGGAGGAAACUCUGAUGCAGCGACGCCGCGGGAGUGAAGAAGUAUUUCGGUAUGUAAAGCUCUAUCAGCAGGGAAGAUGAUGACGGUACCUGACUAAGAAGCCCCGGCUAACUACGUG